CAGAUUGAACGCUGGCGGCAGGCCUAACACAUGCAAGUCGAGCGRGGUUUUCGGACCUAGCGGCGGACGGGUGAGUAAUGCGUAGGAAGCUGCCCGAUAGAGGGGGAUACCAGUUGGAAACGACUGUUAAUACCGCAUAAUGUCUACGGACCAAAGUGUGGGACCUUCGGGCCACAUGCUAUCGGAUGCGCCUACGUGGGAUUAGCUAGUUGGUGDGGUAAUGGCUCACCAAGGCGACGAUCCCUAGCUGGUUUGAGAGGAUGAUCAGCCACACUGGGACUGAGACACGGCCCAGAC
This 297-nucleotide ribosomal RNA is filed under the name bacterium endosmybiont of Otiorhynchus armadillo. RNAcentral's name for it is "partial 16S ribosomal RNA". It matches the Rfam family "Bacterial small subunit ribosomal RNA", at positions 25 to 336 of the family's 1533-position model. The record is from RNAcentral.